This 251-nucleotide ribosomal RNA is filed under the name uncultured bacterium. RNAcentral describes it as "partial 16S ribosomal RNA". It matches the Rfam family "Bacterial small subunit ribosomal RNA", at positions 524 to 776 of the family's 1533-position model. The record is from RNAcentral.
UACGAAGGGGGCUAGCGUUGUUCGGAAUUACUGGGCGUAAAGGGCGCGUAGGCGGUCUCGUAAGUCAGGCGUGAAAGGCGGGCUCAACCUGGGGACUGCGCUUGAUACUGCGGGGCUUGAAUCCGGGAGAGGAUGGCGGAAUUCCCAGUGUAGAGGUGAAAUUCGUAGAUAUUGGGAAGAACACCGGUGGCGAAGGCGGCCAUCUGGCCCGUGAUUGACGCUGAGGCGCGAAAGCGUGGGGAGCAAACAGG